Molecule: long non-coding RNA, 5657 nt
Filed under: Sus scrofa (pig)
Lineage: Eukaryota; Metazoa; Chordata; Mammalia; Artiodactyla; Suidae
Description: lncRNA (ENSSSCG00025033420.1)
Source: RNAcentral
ACUAAGUCUAGCCACCCUUUGAUUUUGUAAAUGGAUGUUCAUUGGCUCAGUCACACCUGUUGAUUUGUCAAUCAAAUUGAUUUGUCAUCGUCUGUGGCUGUUCCCUUGCUACAACUUCAUAGUUGAGUUGUUUUGAUUCAGACUUUAUCCACAAAAACUAAAAUAUUGUCUGUAACUUUACAAAAAAAAAAAAAGUGUCCUGAUCCUUGACUUAUAUUCUACUUAAGAGCUUACAAAGAGUUUUCACCAGAAAGAUCCACUUUAGUCCUCACUGUCCCGUGACAGAAAGCUGGCCUUAUUACUCAUCCCAGUGUAUGGAUGUGUAAAUGGAUCUCUUCCAGGUUAAAUUGUUGUCCAAGAUCAUGCUUAGGUUCUGUGAGGAGGAGCUGGAUUUUUUUUUUCUUUUUAGAGCCACUCCCCUGUCAUGUGGAGGUUCCCAGGCUAGGUGUUGAAUCAGAGCUGUAGCUGCCUGCCUACACCACAGCCACAGCAAUGCCAGGUCUGAGCAGCAUCUGAAACCUACACCACAGCUCAUGGCACCACCAGAUCCUUAACCCACUAAGCGAGGUCAGGAAUCAAACCUGCGUCUUCACAGAUGCUAGUCAGAUUCAUUUCUGCUGAGCCAUGAUAGGAACUCCUGAAGUUUGAAUUUAGCUCUUUAUAUCUGAAAUCUGAUGUUUUAUACUUUCUAGAUGCAAAAGGCUACUAUAUUUGCCCCUUCUUUUGUCUUUUCUUACCAACCAAAUUCUCCCCAUAAGCUCCUUCCCUUUAGUAACUUGAGUGACGUGAUUGAUGCUGAUGAUGACAUAAGCAAGUAGACCCCAUCCUGUAUCACAUGUAUAUAGAUAUAAAAUAUGGAGGCCACCAGUUUUUGCUAAAUCGAGUACUAGGCAUAUAGAGAGUUGACAACACUAAAAAUAGAUGCCAGCUGAGUUAAUCUUUCUUCAGUGAUUCAGAAACUUGAGGCAUUUUCAGAAAUACCUGAGAGUCAUCAUAUGAGAAUCUAUUAAUUUAUCAUGUCCCAGAAUUACAGGUGUGGGAGAUUGUUCUGAAUCCCCACAGACCUUGCGAAGGCUCUGAAAAAUGACUUAGAAUAUAAUCCCCCUCUGUUGUAAAUUUAUUAAUAUUCCACUUGCUUUUCUCUCAGAAUGGCAGAAAAGGAAAAAUAAUGUGCACAUUUGAGUUUUUGAGAUGUUUGUAUCCUGAUAAGUAAAAAUGUACUGGAGAUUUCAUCAUAAACAUUAAAAUAAAACUCUUGGAGAAACACACAGAGAUCUGUACAUAAAUAAUAGCUGCUCAUGCCAACCAAUAUUUUUAAAACUCACUAUUAAAUUUGAACCUCAUGUUAGAUAUGGGGGAUUAAGCUAACGAUCAUAUUUACUUUAGUAAACUCUUAAAAAAAAAACCUAAUUCAAAGUUUGUUUCUGACCAACUACCUCCUUAAUCCCAUAGCACCUGCCAGAAGACAUCCAAUAACCCACUCUUUAGGUCAGAGAAAAACAUACAAAAGAGAAAGCCUUGGCUGGAAUGACUCAUGUUACAAGCCAGCUGCUUUCCAGAAUCCGUUAAGCUGUAGGGUCCAGAUCUCCUUUUGUGGCUUUCUACAGACUUUAUUUGAACAGAGAAAUUACAACAACCCUGCCCACAUAAAAGCCGAGGAAAGAAACUAGUUGGGGGAGAGAGAGUGCCCAAAUUUUUUACUAUACUUUGAAACAAAAUGGCAAGGGUGUUAGCAAGCAUUCUCUUUGCUUUGCAUUAAUAAAUGUUCCUCUGCUUUUGCUCACAAUUGAGAUGAUGAAACUUGGACAUGAUAGAUUCCAUUUGAUAAUCAGUAGAAAUGCUUUUCCUGAGUCAGUUGACUGUCAAGGGCCCUGAAACCUCAUCUGGCAUUUUUGGUUAAUGCAGUUUGACCAUCUAUCUUCCUUGGCUUCCUUUGACCAAUGCCAAGUUGUUAUGAGUUCUUUUCUGUUUCAAUCCAUUGAGGGAUCUACUUAACCCAACACAUGACCAUUUUUUUGACCAGUGAGAAGCAGUGUCUAGGUCAGACAUUGAUUUCCUCCCAAGUGACAACUCGCGAAUCAGUAGUCAUCAUCUCAGUACCUCAGACCUGGGGAAGGACGAGGAUUUUCAGCAGAAGAGUUGCCAAGCCAACUGGUUGUAUGUGCUGUAGCCAGGAAUGGCGGUGAGGCCUGAGAAAGUGAAGUAUUUCCACCAUUUCUGAACUAUACAGUAACCUAAGAUUGCUUCCUGGGUAGGACUCUGUGCAUGUGUGUACAUACAUGUGCGUGUGUGCGCAUGGGUGUGCAUGUGUGUGUGUGCACUCUAUUCAGGAUGAUGCGGCUUCCAUUUUUUCACCAUCUAGUCAAUAGAUGAUGAAUCAAUCAUCUAUUGAUUCCUUUAACAAAUUUUAUUGACCAUCACUUUCUACCUCUCUACCAGGAAGUAUUCCAGAGAUUGAGAGUGGAAAGAAAUCCAAGAUAAAUCAGAUAAAGACAUUCUCAUAAACAAAGCCUGUGCCUUUCUGUGACAAGUAUAGUAGGAAUGCACAAAAUACCUGAAUUGUGAGCGUUUGGGGCCUCUGCUUAUUUAAACAUUAACAUGGGAAAGAUGAUGAAAAGGAGAUGAAUGAGUAGAUUAAAUUUCUAGCAGUGGUUAUCAGCAUCCCCAAAUCUAUGGUAUUGAGUAUAUUUGCCUAAAACUGUUUUCUUAAAGUUUAUGGAGUCAUAAUGCCUUACUAUUGGCCUAAAUGUAGGGAGAAAAAAAGACUUGAAACCAGAACAUGCAAUAUGAUUUUCAUAUGCCCCAAAGCCAGAGUUGAAACAGAUUCCAACUUAAUAUCACCAAGCAAUAUUCAGGCUAUCCCAGACAAUUCUAACAUAGAAUCUCAUUCUUGACAUCAUCUCUUAAUGAAACUCUGUGAACACUCAUGAGAGAUUUCAUCUAGAAUAUUUAUCUGAGAAUGUGGUUUGGCUAACACAGCUUUAGCAUGCUGCUCCUUACGUAUGGGAGCAGCACACGCUCAUAUGCUCAUUUUUUGCAUGUGAGGAAAAUGAAACAUGGGAAUGUUAAACUAAUUUGGCCAUGGUUCACAUUUAGUUAGUGUCAAAUUUUUAAUCCAAUUUGGAAAAUAAGAACCUAGGGAAAGCCAUUCUUGAAGCAUUUAGCUUCUACUUUCUUUUUUAUUUAUUUUAUUUUUUAAAUUAAAGUUUGCUAAUUUACAUGUUCCUUCCUGUUGCACAGCAAAGUGACCCAAUUACACACAGUUCCCUGUGCUGUACAGUAGGAUGCCAGCGCCCAUUGAUUCCAAAUGUAAUAGUUUGCAUCCACCAACCCCAAACUCCUCAUCCAUCCUACUCCUACCCCCUCCCCUUGCCAACCACAAGUCUGCUCUCCUUGGCUGUGAUCUGUUUCUAUUUUAUAGAUAGGAUCAUUUGUCCUAUAUUUUAGAUUAUUUUGUGUUUCUGCUGUCGAUGUAGGCUGGAAGCAGAGUUGAGCAGAACCAGCUCUAAUCAGCCCAGGUGGCACUGCAUUUAGUGGAGAGUGUCCAUUGCCCUCCAGCUUGUCUAGACCAAUGGAAGGAUUGGUCUCCCUAAUUUUUUAGUAUUCAGGUCUCUUGUAUGCUGGCAUGUAAAUAUAUCACUUUCCAGGCAUGUAUUAAUACAAUGAAAUGUAAUUAAUGCUAACAUUGCAUUGAUCAGGACAUCAUUUUCCUUGAAGAAUCAGCCCAAGCUUCAUGGUCUUGCACCCCAAAAUCUUAUCACAGUGGUGAACAACACACAGUUGAUUUAUGCAAAAGUGUCACUUCUUCCCUGUGGAUUGACUGCUGGAUGGCAGUGAAGACACUGAGACAGUUUUAUUUCAGUCAUCAGCAUCACAACAAUUUCACAGGGCCAGUCUGGGUUUUUCAAAACAAGUGACCCAGGAGAGAAAUUUACCUUUACAUCGACUUUCACCAACAACUGUUUGUGAGACUUCAAGAAUAAAAUGCAUCAUGGAAAUAAAACGCAUCAUCUACCUAGAGGAGUUGGUCCAGAGUUAAAAGAUGCAGUAGGAUUUCCCUUCUGGUGGAUCGUAUUUCCCUUUGACGCGGUUCUAAAUUCUUUGGGGCCAACAGGGAGACCACCGAUAAUUGCCUGUAAUUCAACACACACACGACCAGCUCUCCAGAAAGCCAAGCAUCAGCUUCUCUAUUACAGUUAGGGGCCUCACAUUUGGGUUUGGUCUUUUCUUUUUCCCCUUGGAUCCAUGGCUCUUUUCAUGCAAGGUCCUGUUUGACAUCCUAAUAUAAGUGUAAUUUCAUCUUUCUCCAGAAACCUUCAUUUUCACGGCCUCUAAUGACCAUUCCAUAAUCAGUGUGGUUAGAGGAACUGAAUUCACCUCUAGGCACCUGUCAUGUUUGUAAUGAAGGAAGAGAAAGUGUAAGUGUUGGAAUAAAUGCUUUUUGAAGCACACCCUAGGCGCACUACUUUUGAAGUUUGAUCUCGAUAGUAAAUAUUCUUGGAGUGCACAUUCAACACAUAUUCUGACAUAGCAAAAUUAGAAAAUCUGCUUAGAAAGAGGUGCACAACCUAAUUUUUCCCCUUUUUAUCUUAAAUGCCUCUUCAGUCUGGCCCUUCCUCAUCUGUUCUCAAGGAAUUCUGCCAGGGCAUAGCUGAGAUAAAUCUGGCUGGAGAUCCCUCCAAAGAUUAUGCUAAACUCACCUUUGUCAUUGAUUCAGCUCAUCCUCAUGCACUGAGCAUCUUUCAAAGGACUGUUGGAAAUUGGGGCUCAUUGUCAUGGGAAGGAAAAGUCAGAAGAUGAAUAACUUAAAUAUUAAAGAAGUCUACCUCUAGUUGGGAAAGGAAAAAUCCACAUAUAUGAUGCUUUCAUGGGACCACUGUGAAUGCGCUAUUAUGGCGCCAUGAGGAAUUAGGAGGUAGAUCAGUUCUAUGGCUGGGAAAACUUUUGGCAAAUGUGGAUUUUUAACUUCACCCUUGAGUUCCAUAGAACUCCCCAAAGCAGAGGAGGCAGUGAAGAUGACUUUGACAACAAGAAGCAGCACAACUUAAAGACUUAGAAGUGAAAGGUACCGGGCAAGUUCAUGUAAAAGAACGUGAUCUAGUGGUGGUGGGAGCAGGGUAAGAGGGAGGAGCAGGGAGAAUAACAGGGAACCAAGCUGGAGCCAUAAAAUGGGGUUGGGCUCUCAGGGCUUUGAAUGUUGGAACGAAGAGCUUGGACACAAUGAAAGGCCAAGAACCUUUUUUAAGUUGAGGUCUGAAAUAGUUCUGGAUUGUAGCAAGACCUUGCCGACGUUGCUUGGAGAAUGUUCAGGAAGGGUUAGAGGAUCCGUUUGAAUGAUGUUGAAACAACAUCAUUAUAUUAUUAUAUUUGUAUCUAUAUUAAUAUGCAUUGUUGAAGAAGAAAAAUGCCUGAGCAGGGAGGUCCCUUCGUGACUCAGCGGUUAACAAACCUGACUAGGAUCCAUGAGGAUGCGAGUUCAAUCCCUGACCUCACUCUGUGGCUUAAGGAUCCGAUGUUGCCAUGAGCUGUGGUAUAGGUCGCAAACGCAGCAGCUUGAUCCUGAGUUGCUGUGGCUGUGAUGUAGGCUGGCAGCUGUAGCUCUGAUUUGACCCUGAGCCUGGGAACCUCCAUAUGCUGUGGGUGUGGCCCUAAAAAGC